Molecule: ribosomal RNA, 429 nt
Filed under: Bacteroidota bacterium
Lineage: Bacteria; Pseudomonadati; Bacteroidota
Description: Bacteroidetes bacterium partial 16S ribosomal RNA
Rfam family: Bacterial small subunit ribosomal RNA
Source: RNAcentral
UAGGGAAUCUUCCGCAAUGGACGCAAGUCUGACGGAGCAACGCCGCGUGAGUGAAGAAGGAUUUCGGUUCGUAAAACUCUGUUGUUAGAGAAGAACAGCGCAUAGAGUAACUGUUAUGCGUGUGACGGUAUCUAACCAGAAAGCCACGGCUAACUACGUGCCAGCAGCCGCGGUAAUACGUAGGUGGCAAGCGUUGUCCGGAUUUAUUGGGCGUAAAGCGAGCGCAGGCGGUCAAUUAAGUCUGAUGUGAAAGCCCCCGGCUCAACCGGGGAGGGUCAUUGGAAACUGGUUGACUUGAGUGCAGAAGAGGAGAGUGGAAUUCCAUGUGUAGCGGUGAAAUGCGGAGAUAUAUGGAGGAACACCAGUGGCGAAGGCGACUCUCUGGUCUGUAACUGACGCGGAGGCUCGAAAGCGUGGGUAGCAAACAGG